Molecule: ribosomal RNA, 484 nt
Filed under: uncultured bacterium
Lineage: Bacteria
Description: partial 16S ribosomal RNA
Rfam family: Bacterial small subunit ribosomal RNA
Source: RNAcentral
AUUGAACGCUGGCGGCAGGCCUAACACAUGCAAGUCGAGCGGAUGAAGGGAGCUUGCUCCUGGAUUCAGCGGCGGACGGGUGAGUAAUGCCUAGGAAUCUGCCUGGUAGUGGGGGAUAACGUCCGGAAACGGGCGCUAAUACCGCAUACGUCCUGAGGGAGAAAGUGGGGGAUCUUCGGACCUCACGCUAUCAGAUGAGCCUAGGUCGGAUUAGCUAGUUGGUGGGGUAAAGGCCUGCCAAGGCGACGAUCCGUAACUGGUCUGAGAGGAUGAUCAGUCACACUGGAACUGAGACACGGUCCAGACUCCUACGGGAGGCAGCAGUGGGGAAUAUUGGACAAAGGGCGAAAGCCUGAUCCAGCCAUGCCGCGUGUGUGAAGAAGGUCUUCGGAUUGUAAAGCACUUUAAGUUGGGAGGAAGGGCAGUAAGUUAAUACCUUGCUGUUUUGACGUUACCAACAGAAUAAGCACCGGCUAACUUCGUG